Molecule: transfer RNA, 74 nt
Organism: Singulisphaera acidiphila DSM 18658
Lineage: Bacteria; Pseudomonadati; Planctomycetota; Planctomycetia; Isosphaerales; Isosphaeraceae
Rfam family: tRNA
About the family: Transfer RNA (tRNA) molecules are approximately 80 nucleotides in length. Their secondary structure includes four short double-helical elements and three loops (D, anti-codon, and T loops). Further hydrogen bonds mediate the characteristic L-shaped molecular structure. tRNAs have two regions of fundamental functional importance: the anti-codon, which is responsible for specific mRNA codon recognition, and the 3' end, to which the tRNAs corresponding amino acid is attached (by aminoacyl-tRNA synthetases). tRNAs cope with the degeneracy of the genetic code in two manners: having more than one tRNA (with a specific anti-codon) for a particular amino acid; and 'wobble' base-pairing, i.e. permitting non-standard base-pairing at the 3rd anti-codon position.
Source: Rfam
GGGCGAUUAGCUCAGUUGGCUAGAGCACCAGCUCGACACGCUGGGGGUCGCAGGUUCGAGUCCUGCAUCGCCCA